Molecule: ribosomal RNA, 500 nt
Filed under: uncultured bacterium
Lineage: Bacteria
Description: partial 16S ribosomal RNA
Rfam family: Bacterial small subunit ribosomal RNA
Source: RNAcentral
AUUGAACGCUGGCGGCAGGCCUAACACAUGCAAGUCGAGCGGAUGACGGGAGCUUGCUCCUUGAUUCAGCGGCGGACGGGUGAGUAAUGCCUAGGAAUCUGCCUGGUAGUGGGGGACAACGUUUCGACAGGAACGCUAAUACCGCAUACGUCCUACGGGAGAAAGCAGGGGACCUUCGGGCCUUGCGCUAUCAGAUGCGCCUAGGUCGGAUUAGCUAGUUGGUGGGGUAAUGGCUCACCAAGGCGACGAUCCGUAACUGGUCUGAGAGGAUGAUCAGUCACACUGGAACUGAGACACGGUCCAGACUCCUACGGGAGGCAGCAGUGGGGAAUAUUGGACAAUGGGCGAAAGCCUGAUCCAGCCAUGCCGCGUGUGUGAAGAAGGUCUUCGGAUUGUAAAGCACUUUAAGUUGGGAGGAAGGGCAGUAAGCUAAUACCUUGCUGUUUUGACGUUACCGACAGAAUAAGCACCGGCUAACUCUGUGCCAGCAGCCGCCGUAA